RNAcentral lists this long non-coding RNA (247 nucleotides) under Homo sapiens (human). RNAcentral's name for it is "HSALNT0030401". Lineage: Eukaryota; Metazoa; Chordata; Mammalia; Primates; Hominidae. The record is from RNAcentral.
AUCUUCUUCCUGUUCUGCAAAUCUAUUUGUAAGGAUCUUGGCAGAUGUAAUCAAGUUGAGAUGAGAUCAUCUUGGAUUAGGGUGAGCCCUAAAUCCACUGACUUGGUGUCUUUGUAAGAGAAAGGAAAGCGAGAUUUGGAUGCAGACACAUAGAGAAGAACGUGAAGCUGUGAAGAAGCUGAUGUGCAGAUGGAGGCAAAGACGGGAGUGAUGGCAUCUAUAAGCCAAGGACCACCAAGAAUCGCUG